This 478-nucleotide long non-coding RNA is filed under the name Laticauda laticaudata (blue-ringed sea krait). RNAcentral's name for it is "lncRNA (ENSLLTG00000011947.1)". Lineage: Eukaryota; Metazoa; Chordata; Lepidosauria; Squamata; Elapidae. The record is from RNAcentral.
ACUUGUUCUUCCUCUUUUAAUUCUUUUUUUAAUCUUGCAGUUAUCUUCCCCUUGAAUAAUCUGGUGUGUUUUUAAAACCAGAAUCAUUAUUUAAAAGAUGCCAUCAGAUCAGUCCUGUUCGCUCCUAUUCAGAAUGAGGUCAAUGGGUCUUCAAGAUAUGGUCAGACUGGAAUUACUGCUGAAUAAGUGACUGGAUUGGAUACCCAUUGUGUGGAGCCCAUUGUGGCUCCAGAAAUAACUGUAAUAAUGACAUGGACAAAAAUGUCAAGAGAAAUUGGGAUGUCUGGAUCAACCAACUGGGAGUUGGAUGUGAUUGAUGUUCAGGAGCAUUUUGCCUCUAAGACAGUCAUAGAUUGGUUACAUCCUACUAUCAAGCUCUAAUUAUGUAUCUUCUCUUUGAUCCUUAAGGCAAAUAAACUGCAUGUUCUCUUAUCCUUAACCCAAAAGAUUAAAUGCAAUAUCAAAUCAUGCAUUGUGG